Molecule: ribosomal RNA, 500 nt
Filed under: uncultured bacterium
Lineage: Bacteria
Description: partial 16S ribosomal RNA
Rfam family: Bacterial small subunit ribosomal RNA
Source: RNAcentral
AUUGAACGCUGGCGGAAUGCUUUACACAUGCAAGUCGAACGGCAGCACGGACUUCGGUCUGGUGGCGAGUGGCGAACGGGUGAGUAAUGUAUCGGAACGUGCCCAGUCGUGGGGGAUAACGUAGUGAAAAUUACGCUAAUACCGCAUACGAUCUAUGGAUGAAAGCGGGGGAUCGCCAGACCUCGCGCGAUCGGAGCGGGCGGUAUCAGAUUAGGUAGUUGGUGGGGUAAAGGCCCACCAAGCCAACGAUCUGUAGCUGGUCUGAGAGGACGACCAGCCACACUGGAACUGAGACACGGUCCAGACUCCUACGGGAGGCAGCAGUGGGGAAUUUUGGACAAUGGGCGAAAGCCUGAUCCAGCCAUUCCGCGUGCAGGAUGAAGGCCCUCGGGUUGUAAACUGCUUUUGUACAGAACGAAAAGGUUUCUACUAAUACUAGGAGCUCAUGACGGUACUGUAAGAAUAAGCACCGGCUAACUACGUGCCAGCAGCCGCAGUAA